AGCUUUGUGCAGUGGCAGUAUUGUAGCCAAUGAGGUUAAUCCAAGAUGUGGUUAUUGCUAAUUGGGAAACUCAACUGCAUAGUUUGUGGUAGUGGGGAACUGCAUUUGCACCUUAUAAAUUUAUUAAGAGCAGCCCUUAGG
This is a small nuclear RNA of Apteryx haastii (Great spotted kiwi), 141 nucleotides long. Its record names the gene U4. It matches the Rfam family "U4 spliceosomal RNA". Rfam says of the family: U4 small nuclear RNA (U4 snRNA) is a component of the major U2-dependent spliceosome. The structure of U4 snRNA from yeast and human has been reported. The record is from Ensembl. Lineage: Eukaryota; Metazoa; Chordata; Aves; Apterygiformes; Apterygidae.